CGGGCGUUAAGUUGCAGGGUAUAGACCCGAAACCCGGUGAUCUAGCCAUGGGCAGGUUGAAGGUUGGGUAACACUAACUGGAGGACCGAACCGACUAAUGUUGAAAAAUUAGCGGAUGACCUGUGGCUGGGGGUGAAAGGCCAAUCAAACCGGGAGAUAGCUGGUUCUCCCCGAAAGCUAUUUAGGUAGCGCCUCGUGAAUUCAUCUCCGGGGGUAGAGCACUGUUUCGGCUAGGGGGCCAUCCCGGCUUACCAACCCGAUGCAAACUGCGAAUACCGGAGAAUGUUAUCACGGGAGACACACGGCGGGUGCUAACGUCCGUCGUGAAGAGGGAAACAACCCAGACCGCCAGCUAAGGUCCCAAAGUCAUGGUUAAGUGGGAAACGAUGUGGGAAGGCCCAGACAGCCAGGAUGUUGGCUUAGAAGCAGCCAUCAUUUAAAGAAAGCGUAAUAGCUCACUGGUCGAGUCGGCCUGCGCGGAAGAUGUAACGGGGCUAAACCAUGCACCGAAGCUGCGGCAGC
This 522-nucleotide ribosomal RNA is filed under the name Salmonella enterica subsp. enterica serovar Enteritidis. RNAcentral's name for it is "partial 23S ribosomal RNA". It matches the Rfam family "Bacterial large subunit ribosomal RNA", at positions 689 to 1209 of the family's 2925-position model. Lineage: Bacteria; Pseudomonadati; Pseudomonadota; Gammaproteobacteria; Enterobacterales; Enterobacteriaceae. The record is from RNAcentral.